RNAcentral lists this ribosomal RNA (520 nucleotides) under uncultured bacterium. RNAcentral describes it as "bacterial SSU rRNA". It matches the Rfam family "Bacterial small subunit ribosomal RNA", at positions 26 to 518 of the family's 1533-position model. The record is from RNAcentral.
AGGACGAACGCUGGCGGCGUGCCUAAUACAUGCAAGUCGAACGGUCUUUUCUAUGGAAGCUUGCUUCCACUGAGAAGAUAGUGGCGAACGGGUGAGUAACACGUGGGUAACCUGCCCAUAAGAGGGGGAUAACAUCCGGAAACGGGUGCUAAUACCGCAUAGUUUUCUUGAUCGCAUGAUCGGGAAAGGAAAGACGGCCUUUGUGCUGUCGCUUAUGGAUGGACCCGCGGCGUAUUAGUUAGUUGGUGAGGUAACGGCUCACCAAGACGAUGAUACGUAGCCGACCUGAGAGGGUGAUCGGCCACAUUGGGACUGAGACACGGCCCAAACUCCUACGGGAGGCAGCAGUAGGGAAUCUUCCGCAAUGGACGAAAGUCUGACGGAGCAACGCCGCGUGAGUGAAGAAAGGUUUUCGGAUCGUAAAACUCUGUUGUCAGAGAAGAACAAGUUGGAGAGUAACUGCUCCAGCCUUGACGGUAUCUGACCAGAAAGCCACGGCUAACUACGUGCCAGCAGCCGC